Molecule: ribosomal RNA, 366 nt
Filed under: Klebsiella pneumoniae
Lineage: Bacteria; Pseudomonadati; Pseudomonadota; Gammaproteobacteria; Enterobacterales; Enterobacteriaceae
Description: bacterial SSU rRNA
Rfam family: Bacterial small subunit ribosomal RNA
Source: RNAcentral
GGCUGCAGUGGGGAAUAUUGCACAAUGGGGGAAACCCUGAUGCAGCAACGCCGCGUGAAGGAAGACGGUUUUCGGAUUGUAAACUUCUAUCAAUAGGGAAGAAAGAAAUGACGGUACCUAAAUAAGAAGCCCCGGCUAACUACGUGCCAGCAGCCGCGGGAAUACGUAGGGGGCAAGCGUUAUCCGGAAUUACUGGGUGUAAAGGGAGAGUAGGCGGCAAGGUAAGCGAUAUGUGAAAGCCUUAGGCUUAACCUGAGGAUUGCAUAACGAACUAUCUAGCUAGAGUACAGGAGAGGAAAGCGGAAUUCCUAGUGUAGCGGUGAAAUGCGUAGAUAUUAGGAAGAACACCAGUGGCGAAGGCGGCUU